Long non-coding RNA from Amphimedon queenslandica, 207 nucleotides. RefSeq lists it as uncharacterized. The record is from RefSeq and is a predicted model, not a curated record. The transcript is spliced from 3 exons. Lineage: Eukaryota; Metazoa; Porifera; Demospongiae; Haplosclerida; Niphatidae.
UCUGAAGGUAAUAUUGAUAAAUCUUUCUAUGCAACUACACCAGACGCUAAACUAAAAGUUACUGAUAAAGGAAUAGAACAAGCUAAACUUUGCGUAGGCGAGGACUAGGUACUGUUGUCUGUCUUUCAUUCAUUGUAAAAGAAAUGGUAGAGGAGUUUCUGCUCCACUGAACAGCCAUAGUGGAGGAGAGACGUCACCAUGGCAACA